RNAcentral lists this ribosomal RNA (433 nucleotides) under uncultured bacterium. RNAcentral's name for it is "partial 16S ribosomal RNA". It matches the Rfam family "Bacterial small subunit ribosomal RNA", at positions 29 to 507 of the family's 1533-position model. The record is from RNAcentral.
AACGAACGCUGGCGGCAUGCCUAACACAUGCAAGUCGAACGAAGUCUUCGGACUUAGUGGCGCACGGGUGCGUAACGCGUGGGAAUCUGCCCUUGGGUACGGAAUAACUCAGAGAAAUUUGUGCUAAUACCGUAUAAUUUCUUCUGACCAAAGAUUUAUCGCCCAAGGAUGAGCCCGCGUAAGAUUAGCUAGUUGGUUGGGUAAAAGCCUACCAAGGCGACGAUCUUUAGCUGGUCUGAGAGGAUGAUCAGCCACACUGGGACUGAGACACGGCCCAGACUCCUACGGGAGGCAGCAGUGGGGAAUAUUGGACAAUGGGCGAAAGCCUGAUCCAGCAAUGACGCGUGAGUGAUGAAGGCCCUAGGGUUGUAAAGCUCUUUUACCAGGGAUGAUAAUGACAGUACCUGGAGAAUAAGCACCGGCUAACUACGUG